RNAcentral lists this ribosomal RNA (884 nucleotides) under uncultured archaeon. RNAcentral describes it as "bacterial SSU rRNA". It matches the Rfam family "Archaeal small subunit ribosomal RNA", at positions 32 to 922 of the family's 1478-position model. The record is from RNAcentral.
GGGGGUCGGAUGAACUAGCAUGCGAGUCAUUGUAGCAAUACAAGGCAGACGGCUCAGUAACGCGUAGUCAAUCUACCCUAUGGACGGGAAUAACCUCGGGAAACUGAGAAUAAUGCCCGAUAGAACAUUAUACCUGGAACGGUUUAUGUUUCAAAUGAUUUAUCGCCGUAGGAUGGGACUGCGGCCUAUCAGUUUGUUGGUGAGGUAAUGGCCCACCAAGACUAUUACAGGUACGGGCUCUGAGAGGAGUAGCCCGGAGAUGGGUACUGAGACACGGACCCAGGCCCUAUGGGGCGCAGCAGGCGAGAAAACUUUGCAAUGUGCGAAAGCACGACAAGGUUAAUCCGAGUGGUUUCUGCUAAAGAAACCUUUUGCUAGUCCUAGAAACACUAGUGAAUAAGGGGUGGGCAAGUUCUGGUGUCAGCCGCCGCGGUAAAACCAGCACCUCAAGUGGUCAGGAUGAUUAUUGGGCCUAAAGCAUCCGUAGCUCGUUUUGUAAGUUUUCGGUUAAAUCCAUACGCUCAACGUAUGGGCUGCCGGGAAUACUGCAUAACUAGGAAGUGGGAGAGGUAGACGGUACUCGGUAGGAAGGGGUAAAAUCCUUUGAUCUAUUGAUGACCACCUGUGGCGAAGGCGGUCUACCAGAACACGUUCGACGGUGAGGGAUGAAAGCUGGGGGAGCAAACCGGAUUAGAUACCCGGGUAGUCCCAGCUGUAAACUAUGCAAACUCAGUGAUGCAUUGGCUUGUGGCCAAUGCAGUGCUGCAGGGAAGCCGUUAAGUUUGCCGCCUGGGAAGUACGUACGCAAGUAUGAAACUUAAAGGAAUUGGCGGGGGAGCACCACAAGGGGUGAAGCCUGCGGUUCAAUUGGAUUCAACGCCGGG